RNAcentral lists this long non-coding RNA (325 nucleotides) under Eutrema salsugineum. Its description in RNAcentral is "long non-coding RNA (ESAL_LNC002072)". Lineage: Eukaryota; Viridiplantae; Streptophyta; Magnoliopsida; Brassicales; Brassicaceae. The record is from RNAcentral.
UCCCUCACGACCUCCUUAUCUCCUCCUCCAACUUCCUCCGCCUGCAACUUCCUCCUCCUCUCCGGAUCCGUCAACGAAACCAUCGCCGCGAGAGCUGCUACGGAUCCGCCUCCGACUACGGCGAUAGUUGUACUGUCUAUGCUGGCUAGGUCGGUGACGGAGGCCGCGACGACGGUAGCGGCUCUGCUCCGUGAAGCUACAUUGAACCUAUUAGCGUUAGGGAAUCUGGGGAGAAACUGAGAGACUGAGGAAGAUGAUGACAACAAGGAAGGAGCAAUCGGCAUUCUCGAAGCAAGAAGAAGUGUGGCUACUCUGUUUGGCGCCC